UUGCGAGGCUCCCAGCCAGCCUUGCCGGGAAGGCGGAUCCAGCCGCUAAAGCCCAGCUGUGCGUGGGGUCCGCCCAGGAACUGCAGUUUAUGAACAAACUAAGUCUGACUCUCCUCUCGAAAUAUAUACAAAUAUGGGAGGGGGGAGCUGGGCGAAGGAGUCAGGCUCUGAGAAAAAGAGUUUGAUUUUUUUUUUUCUGAUGACAGUGCGGAGUUGCUCCUGGCUCCACACGGCCCAAGGAUCUUUGAAGGGGACCUAAAAUCUGCUGUGUGCAUCUAAUCAAAAAGCCUGUCCCAGCGAUGGUGUGGUAACCUUUGAUGACCCAGAUAGCAAGAGGAGUAUGAGCAGUCAAAGCCAGCACUGCAUCCUGAGGGACAUGGCCGCAACUCCUCUGGCCUUGUCUGCAUUGCCUCAACCAAUUCUCCUCAGCCCUCAACUUCUCCAUGCUCCUGCCUCUCAGCUAAUGCUCAUUUUGGUAGCCAUGAAGGAUAAUUGCACUUUCUGUGAUGCCUGACUUUCACUGGAGUCUUUGCAUAAGCCAGAAACACUGGCCUAACUUCUGACUUCUCACAGAUUGCGUGCAACAGGUUCCUUGAUCAAUGAUGCACCAAGAUUAAGUAAAGGUUUAACACCUCUGUAAUUCACAAUGUCACUGAGUUGGUUUGCUGGUUUUUUUCUCUUCAGUUCUGUCCCAAAUCUUCUGGCUUUCUUCCUCUGAAGUUUUUGAGUUUUUCUCACAGCUCACUUCAAGAUACUUUUGAAGCCACUUUCAUUAAGUUUUCAUUCAUACUAUCAAUGUGUUAGCACAGAUUCUUUCAAAAAUGGGUAUUAGUUUGGGCCUUUGUGUGUGAUUUGUGGAACCAGAUCUGCUGUAGCUGAAAUGGAUGGAAACCACUGCUACCAAUUUCAGACUGAGUGGAAUUGAGUGAUUUUCUGCACCCAUAUCUCUUUUCCACUCUCUGCUUAUCUUUCCAUGAGCUUUUCUUCUUCUGAAAAAAUUUUGAUUUUCCUGCUGUUUAGUGAUCAUUUCACACAGAUAUUUAGAUGCUAGAAAUAUGUCUAUGAGGAGCCUGAACUCACCUACUUUUCGUCCUGCAGUAUUCCAUGCUGAAGCAGCUACUCCUUCAUUUUAGUGACAGUUCCUUGACGUUCACUCCUCUUCAGUGUUUUCUUAAGGAUCCUAAGCAAGCACUGUUUUCUGCUGCAUCCAUCAUACCAAGGACAUCAUACGCAGACAGAUGCCAGGGUCUUCAGUGAGGAUCAGCCUUUGAAGACCAAGAGCACAAGCAGGCAUCACUUCAGCUGCCAGACACCUCCAGAUAGCAAACACCUUUGGUUCUGGAGGAAUUAGCCUGUAGGAGCAGUUUGACAGCCUGAUUCACGAUCUUUGUACUAUUAUUAUUGGUAGUAAAACUAUGAUAGGAUCCAGGAGCCUGAACCAUGGAUCAGGAAUGUGCUUUUGCAGAAAAACUCUUGACCCUCCUGCUUUGGCUUAUGCUACAAGGCAGGCUUAAGGCAGGGCACACUCUGAAUUUUUUUCUGGUAGCAGGCAAACUGGAAGGUGUGAAGGGUGGCCAAUCCCUGGGGGUGGACUAGAGGCACCCUAAAAAUCAUCAGCUAAAAUAUGUGUGGUGCAGAUGGUGGGUCCUCAGCUCCAGCUGUGUUGCUCCAUGAAUCUACUCUGUGCCCCAUCGCUUUCAUGCACCGGCACAGCCAGACACUGCACAGGAUACGCUUCUCUCGUCAGCAGGAAUAUUGGCUGGUUUACUCUCUUUUCCUAAGGUUACUGAAAGGCUGCGGGUGUUGCAGGAGAGAUGCAAAGCAGAGCCGCUGCUUUAGGUGUUUUCAUUUAAGUUCUCAGUAGCAAAGUGAUGGUUGUUGAUGGUAGUUGUGUUAUCUUUUAAUUUUAACUACUUCUGAGAGGUUGAAGUGAUGAGGAACUCUAAAUGAAGAUACUGAUAAAUAGUGUUGUGACAAAGUUGUUGUGAAAUAUUUCCCAUUAAUAUGGCUUUUGUUUGUUUGUUUGUUUGUUUUUGUUUUGGUUUUUUGUUGUUCUUUUUUUGUUUUGUUUUGUUUAAGGUGUGUUAUUUGCUAGAGCUCACAGGCUGUCAAAAGAUCCAAGGAAAGGUAACACACAUAACCUUACAAAAAGCGCUAGGAAGCUAAUUUAUAAGGUAAUAUACCUUGCUUAGCUUUCUUCUGUCAAAAAGCAGUUUAUCCAGAGUAACAGUAGAAUUAAAAAGGACAGACCUAAGGAUGGAAAAAGAUGGAACUCCCUGUUUUCCAGAGGCUGUGAUGGUAGUCGGGACAGCUUCAGAGACUGAAGGGACUUGUAAGUAGGAAGUUGAGUUUGCCUGCUCUAGGUUGAAGAACAAAGAUCAUGCUGCCUAGUGAAGUUGCUGAUGAGCAGUAGAGUGUCCUGGGUAGAGUGACCUGCAGGAAACUGGACUCACAUCUUGACAAGAGAGGAUCCAAAGAGGCCCUGGCUGUGGUUGUGCCUAGCUUAGGCAGGAAACAUUAAAGCUUAUUUUGACCAAAGUAGCACAAGUCCUGGAAGUUCUGAGUGCAGUACUGUGCCAUGAGAAAAUGCUGUUAGCCCAUUUUGCAGGCUGAGGUAGGAAAAUAUGGCUGAGGAAGAGCAUUUUGAUGGAGACUUUGGUGCUUAUUGAAGACCUCUCCAUUGCACACUAGUUUCUCAGGAGAUCUCACUCUCAUAUGAAGCUUCCCAGGCUAUAAUGUACAUGAGGGCUGCCUAGGCUGCUGGUCAACUUAAUUUGGGCAAGUUCUAUCCCUAUCCUCCUUCUAUAUCCAUAGUGUUUUAACUCUUCUCCGCAACUUUUACUACUGUGAAGAAAAUUCAAAGGUGAAAAUAGUUUUUGAAAUCAUGGAAUGUUAGACCCACAAAAUAUUACUGUACUUUAUUGAUAAUGUUGUUUCCAUAAUAACAACAUUUAGUACGAAGUACAAUAUCCUGCAUGAGCUUCACAUAAAUAUUUCCAUCAUAUCACUGAUAACGGAUCAGAAAAAAUUCAGUAUGUGCAUGCUGCAAAUGCAAGUGUAAUUGAUACAAGGUAUGUAUCUUAAUGCACAUCUUGAGUAAACAUAAGAAAACCAUA
Long non-coding RNA from Myiozetetes cayanensis, 3116 nucleotides. RefSeq lists it as uncharacterized. The record is from RefSeq and is a predicted model, not a curated record. The transcript has 2 exons. NCBI's taxonomy places the organism in Eukaryota, Metazoa, Chordata, Aves, Passeriformes, Tyrannidae.